UAUAUUGGACAAUAGGGGCAACCUUAUCCACCAAUGCAACGCGUGUGAGGAAGGCCUGCGGGUGUAAGACACUUUCAGAGGAGAAGAAAAGCCCAGGUUUAAUAACCAGUUGUGUUGACGUUAGAUGCAGAAGAAUCUCCGGCUUACUCCGCAGCAGCAGCGGGUAAUACGGAGGGACCGAUUGUUAAUCGAAAUUACUGGGCGUAAAGCGAUAUAGGCGGCUUUGUAAGUCGGAAAAAAAGCCCUGGGUUUAACCUGGGAAUUGCAUUCGAUGCUGCAUGGCUAGAGCAUGGUAAAGGGAAAUGGAAUUUCCGGUGUAGCAAAAAAUGCGUUGAUAUCGGAAGGAACCCCUGUGGAGGAGGCUACUUUGUGGUCCAAUACUGACUAAGAAGCGAGGAAUGGAGGGAACAAACGGGAUUAAAUUCCUUGGUUUCCACCCUA
Molecule: ribosomal RNA, 441 nt
Filed under: uncultured marine bacterium
Lineage: Bacteria
Description: bacterial SSU rRNA
Rfam family: Bacterial small subunit ribosomal RNA
Source: RNAcentral